RNAcentral lists this ribosomal RNA (253 nucleotides) under uncultured bacterium. RNAcentral's name for it is "partial 16S ribosomal RNA". It matches the Rfam family "Bacterial small subunit ribosomal RNA", at positions 524 to 776 of the family's 1533-position model. The record is from RNAcentral.
UACGUAGGGUGCGAGCGUUGUCCGGAAUUACUGGGCGUAAAGAGCUCGUAGGUGGUUUGUCGCGUUGUCCGUGAAAACUCACAACUCAAUUGUGGGCGUGCGGGCGAUACGGGCAGACUGGAGUACUGCAGGGGAGACUGGAAUUCCUGGUGUAGCGGUGGAAUGCGCAGAUAUCAGGAGGAACACCGGUGGCGAAGGCGGGUCUCUGGGCAGUAACUGACGCUGAGGAGCGAAAGCUAGGGGAGCAAACGGG